GAUGAACGCUGGCGGCGUGCUUAACACAUGCAAGUCGAACGGAAAGACCCUACCUUUGUGGGUUGCUGGAGUGGCGAACGGGUGAGUAACACGUAAGUAACCUGCCCUCGACUUUUGGAUAACUUCAGGAAACUGGGGCUAAUACCGGAUAGGAUCUCCUGCUGCCUGGUUGGGAUUGGAAAUUUUCGGCGUCUGGGGAUGGACUCGCGGGUUAUCAUCUGGUUGGUGGGGGAGUUGCUUCCCAGCGCGUUGAAGGGUCGGCGGCCUGAGAGGGUGACCGGGCACCGUGGGACUGAGAUACGGCCCAGAGUCGUAGGGGAGGCAGAGGUGGGGAAUAUUGCCCAACGGGGCGACGCCGGAUGAAGCAUCGCCGCGUGCGGGAUGACGGGCUUUGGGGUGUAAAAAGCAUUCGCGUGAGACGAAGCGUGAGUGACGGUACCGGAUAAAGAAGCACCGGCUAACUACGUG
This 468-nucleotide ribosomal RNA is filed under the name uncultured bacterium. Its description in RNAcentral is "partial 16S ribosomal RNA". It matches the Rfam family "Bacterial small subunit ribosomal RNA", at positions 28 to 507 of the family's 1533-position model. The record is from RNAcentral.